UUGAGAACUUUACAGGUCGUCAGUUUGAUCCGCGCGUAUUCAAAAAGUGAUAGACGGAAGGUGGUCUUUAGGUUGCGGUUGACACUACGCGUUUCUGGAUUGUUGGUCUUGGUGCAGCUUGAGCGUCUUUAUAAAUAUUGGUUCCAGAGAAAAAGACUUACGGGUUCUCGUGACUUCGAUGGUAACUAUUUUUGGUCCCUCUCAAUAAGGAGGUUCAGCUGGUCUGCGUAUAAGGGUCUUCUUUCUCAACGUGAAGGAUCUGUAAAGUUUCGGUUAGUUUUCUAGUGAGAAGAACCGGCUCGUCUUCCUUGCUUUUGAAAAUGUCUAUCGGGUCCAGUACAAUGUUUGGCAAAAAGCUGAAAUGCUAUGCUUUUGUCAAAGAUGAUCCAGCUAGUCUUGCUUGCUAUGAAAUGAUAGUAUAGGCUCCAGUAAGAUGUUUAGCAGAAGCAAAGCUCAAAUAUAAAAUUUCAAUAGUUUGUUCAUGGCAGUUCAUUUGUUAAUACAAACUUCAAAUUAACAGUAAACCUCAAACAAAAUAACUAUCUAUAUUCAGUAUCUAUUCACCAUUUGCAUUAUAACUCUCUAACUGAAGAGUUAUGAAAGAUAUUCUUUGUACAUUAUGAAGUAUGAAUAUAAUACAGG
Macrobrachium nipponense is the source of this 642-nucleotide long non-coding RNA. RefSeq lists it as uncharacterized. The transcript has 3 exons. NCBI's taxonomy places the organism in Eukaryota, Metazoa, Arthropoda, Malacostraca, Decapoda, Palaemonidae. The record is from RefSeq and is a predicted model, not a curated record.